GAGGAAGCAAGAUUAGAAAAUUUAGUUUUAUCAUUUAUGAAUUGGUUUGAUCGUAGACUUGAUAGGUUAACUAAAAUAUUGGAAAGUUUUAAAAAUAUUGAUGGAUAUAUUCCUGUUAGCAAAGUACGCGACGCAUUUACAAUGUUUAAAUUAAAUAAAGAAAUACAAGACAGAAUUCUAAAAAGAUUGACAGAUCAAAAUGGUUGGGUUAAAUAUGAUGAUCUUAUAAGACAUUUGAAAUGAAAUUUAAUACAUUGUUUAUGUCUGAAAAUUUAUAAAUGACCGCUAUUUAAGUGUUUACUGUAUAAUUUAUUAUUGUUUAAUAAAUUUCAAUGUGACAAAGUAAC
This is a long non-coding RNA of Daktulosphaira vitifoliae (grape phylloxera), 347 nucleotides long. RefSeq lists it as uncharacterized. Lineage: Eukaryota; Metazoa; Arthropoda; Insecta; Hemiptera; Phylloxeridae. The transcript has 2 exons. The record is from RefSeq and is a predicted model, not a curated record.